Molecule: ribosomal RNA, 497 nt
Filed under: uncultured bacterium
Lineage: Bacteria
Description: partial 16S ribosomal RNA
Rfam family: Bacterial small subunit ribosomal RNA
Source: RNAcentral
GAUGAACGCUGGCGGCGUGCCUAAUACAUGCAAGUCGAGCGAACAGACGAGGAGCUUGCUCCUCUGACGUUAGCGGCGGACGGGUGAGUAACACGUGGAGAACCUACCUAUAAGACUGGGAUAACCUCGGGAAACCGGUGCCAAUACCGGAUAAUAUAUUGAACCGCAUGGUUCAAUAGUGAAAGACGGCUUUGCUGUCACUUAUAGAUGGAUCCGUGCCGCAUUAGCUAGUUGGUAAGGUAACGGCUUACCAAGGCAACGAUGCGUAGCCGACCUGAGAGGGUGAUCGGCCACACUGGAACUGAGACACGGUCCAGACUCCUACGGGAGGCAGCAGUAGGGAAUCUUCCGCAAUGGGCGAAAGCCUGACGGAGCAACGCCGCGUGAGUGAUGAAGGUCUUCGGAUCGUAAAACUCUGUUAUUAGGGAAGAACAAAUGUGUAAGUAACUAUGCACGUCUUGACGGUACCUAAUCAGAAAGCCACGGCUAACUACGUG